UACGUAGGGUCCGAGCGUUUGUCCGGAAUUAUUGGGCGUAAAGGGCUCGUAGGCGGUUUGUCACGUCGGGAGUGAAAACUCAGGGCUCAACCCUGAGCGUGCUUCCGAUACGGGCAGACUAGAGGUAUGCAGGGGGAGAACGGAAUUCCUGGUGUAGCGGUGGAAUGCGCAGAUAUCAGGAGGAACACCGGUGGCGAAGGCGGUUCUCUGGGCAUUACCUGACGCUGAGGAGCGAAAGCAUGGGGAGCGAACAGG
Molecule: ribosomal RNA, 255 nt
Filed under: uncultured bacterium
Lineage: Bacteria
Description: partial 16S ribosomal RNA
Rfam family: Bacterial small subunit ribosomal RNA
Source: RNAcentral